RNAcentral lists this ribosomal RNA (540 nucleotides) under Agelosus carinatus. Its description in RNAcentral is "partial 16S ribosomal RNA". The record is from RNAcentral. Lineage: Eukaryota; Metazoa; Arthropoda; Insecta; Coleoptera; Staphylinidae.
CCGGUYUAAACUCAGAUCAKGUAAAAUUUUAAAGGUCGAACAGACCUAAUAUUUUAGCUUCUACACCAAAACUAAAUUUUAAUCCAACAUCGAGGUCGCAAACUUCUUUUUCGAUUUGAACUCUUUAAAGAAAUUACGCUGUUAUCCCUAAGGUAAUUUAAUCUUCUAAUCAUUAUAAUGGAUCAAAAAUUCAUUUAUAAAUGUUAUAAUUAAAAAAAAGUUUAUUAAAUUUUUCUAUCACCCCAAUAAAAUAGAUUAAUAUAUUAAAAUAUAUAAUUCAAAUAAUUAUAAUAAAUUUUAUCUAUAAAACUCUAUAGGGUCUUCUCGUCUUUUAAAUAAAUUUAAGCUUUUUAACUUAAAGAUAAAGUUAUAAUUUAAUAAAUUASAGACAGUUAUUUGUUCGUUCAACCAUUCAUUCUAGCUUUCAAUUAAAAAACUAAUUAUUAUGCUACCUUCGCACGGUCAAAAUACCGCGGCCUUUUAAAAUUCAAUGGGCAGGUUAGACUUGAAAUUAUAUUCAAAAAGACAUGUUUUUAAUAA